GAUGAACGCUAGCGGCAGGCCUAACACAUGCAAGUCGAGGGGUAUUAGGGGCUUGCUCCUAAGAGACCGGCGCACGGGUGCGUAACGCGUAUGCAAUCUGCCUUGUACAGAGGGAUAGCCCAGAGAAAUUUGGAUUAAUACUUCAUAGUGUAAUGAAAUGGCAUCAUUUUAUUACUAAAGCUUCGGCGGUACAAGAUGAGCAUGCGUCCCAUUAGCUAGUUGGUAAGGUAACGGCUUACCAAGGCUACGAUGGGUAGGGGUCCUGAGAGGGAGAUCCCCCACACUGGGUACUGAGACACGGACCAGACUCCUACGGGAGGCAGCAGUGAGGAAUAUUGGUCAAUGGUCGGAAGACUGGAACCGGCCAUGCCGCGUGCAGGAUGACGGCCCUAUGGGUUGUAAACUGCUUUUGUACGGGAAGAAACACCGGUUCGUGAACCGGCUUGACGGUACCGUAAGAAUAAGGAUCGGCUAACUCCGUGCCAGCAGCCGCGGUAAUCAUACUACG
Molecule: ribosomal RNA, 508 nt
Filed under: uncultured bacterium
Lineage: Bacteria
Description: bacterial SSU rRNA
Rfam family: Bacterial small subunit ribosomal RNA
Source: RNAcentral